RNA transcript from Vidua chalybeata, 4481 nucleotides. RefSeq lists it as uncharacterized. The record is from RefSeq and is a predicted model, not a curated record. The transcript has 6 exons. NCBI's taxonomy places the organism in Eukaryota, Metazoa, Chordata, Aves, Passeriformes, Viduidae.
ACUGCCCGGAAGGGAUUUUGGAGUCUGCUUUGGAGAUGGGGAUGUCUAAGAAGCGUCUCCUUAGGCCACCUAAAGGGACAGCGUCUCUUUUGAUCUCAGCGCUGAGGCGCGCAGGGCAGAGCAGUUCCGGUGUGUGUCGUGUCACUUGUCUCUUGUGCAUUCUGUGUUGUUUGGGUCUGUCACGUCACUUGUCUUUUUUUUACCUUAGCUGUCUGAGGGUCAUCUUGGCAUCUGUGAUCUUUGCGUUCCUCGGCCCGGCACCAACGCCGCAGGCCUUUUGACUCGGGAGUCCGGACAGGCAUCGCAGUCGUAUCUGUCUUUAGAAGCAUCCGGUCGGAUGUCUUUUAAGGUGUCGUUCCGAGCGGUAGCGACAGCCGCGCACCCCAACGAUCCAUUAUAGCGGCUUAGGACUCGUGAGAACGCCAAGCUAGGUAGCUCAUUCUUACCGUAGGCUUUUCAGGCAUCCCCUUGUGCGGUUCUCAGAAGACAUAGUUUUCUUAGCAUCUUCUUCCUGCAGGGUUCUUUGAGCCUCAUCGGCUCCGGGCCGGCCGUCUCGCCUAGGUCAUCUCGUUCCGCAAUCUCUCUGUCCUCGCGGGCAUUUUUCUCGCCAAGAGAUUUUUCUCCUCGUGGCGUCCCCUCGUUUGUCGUGUCCUGUCCUGUGUCACGGGUGUCUGCACGUAUUUGUCCCGGAGCUGCUCUGUCCUGCUGCAUAGCCAGGCGUAAUUGCACAAGUCCUGGAGACCUGCAAUUUGGAAUGGGGGAUGUAGUUGUAUUCUAGAUGGUAUUCCUAGAUUCAUACAGGAUGCUUGGACCUGUUAAGUUAUCCUACAGUUGUUUGAAUUUUCUCCUAACUUUCUUUCAGAUGCAGACAUUUAAGAUCUGUGGCAGAGCGCCCCUCCCGGGUCAGGGGGUUUUCCCCGAGAAGGAAGUCCAGGCAGAUAGCUGCAGUCAAGGCCAAGUGUGCAAGGCGGUCCUCUUGCGAGAUGUCUCUGACCCCAGAUGUCUGAGGCCAGGUGUCAUUGCUGCCCUCGGCGUGUGAAGGAACAGAGUCAAGCGGGUAUCCUCCUGGCAGCCUGUUGAGUCGCAUCAAGAUUUCAGGUACCGUGAGGAGGCGCAUAGGUGAAAUUUGGAAACGGCAGCACCGAAGCGGAUGUAGAGACCGUGUCGCCGUCCACGUCCGGCUGAUGAUGGAUUUUGUCUGGUUGUCUUGCAAAAGCUAAGUGUUGGGGCCCGUAGGUGGGAGAAGGGGAAAAACCUUUACUAUCACAGGAGACAAUUAGAUGUUAGCUUAGAGGAGAGGCCCAUAGUGGGACGGGCCUCUAGGAAGCAGAGGGAGAGGGUUUCUACUCAGCCUCACCAGAGUCUUCGCCGGGCAGGGCAGUUCCGAUCCGUCUUUGCGUCCUCGCGAGGUUUGCGUCGGCGGCCUUCUUCGACUCUCGACGUCGUCGUGGAUCUUUUCACCCGAGGAGCCCGCCUUCACGUCCGGAGCUCUAGCCACGGUCACGCCGUAGUCAUCGCUUUCUUGUCUAGGCCUACUGAGCUUCUUAGGCUUCCUCUUAAGUCCUUUGGCACUAACAUCUUGAAAGGAGUUAAAUUUCAUCAUCAUAUGCUAUUGCCCUAGGGCUUUCUUUCCUUUGGUAUCAUCGGCCUAUGAGUCAUCUUGGACUAGCAAUCUUGGGUCCAUAAGGUGGAACUGCCAGGCAGUUUCCACUCGUGUCUGUGUUAUGUUGUCCGUGUCUGUGUUAUGUUGUCUGUGUGUGUGUUACGUUGUCCGUGUCUGUGUUAUGUCGUCCGUGUCCAUUGAUUUGUGCAUCAUAGGCCUUUGUUACAUCUUGAGGCUUUCUCUGCAUUGUUCUCUGCCGUAUCGGCCAUAUUUUACUCGUGUACCUUCCUGGAUAUCGCUUAUUCCAGCAUCGUUACAUUGUUACUUUUUGAGACGGGAAGAAGUACAGGAGACGUUCUCAUCCAUCUUCCUUCUCACCUUUGGUAGCGCCUUCUCUUCCCGUGCCAUUCUCUCGGACUUCUAGAGGGAGCAUAUUAGACCGUCGUCACCUGACCGCAGUAGUUCCGUAGCUUGCGCCUUCUCAAAGGGUAUAGGGCUCAACAAUUCAUCUUCCGGAGAGUUACGUCAAGUCCUCACUUAUAUUGUAUCUAUGUUGGCUUAUAUUGUACGUGCUUAGGUUGUACCUUCCUAUGUUGGCUUAUACUGUAUGUGCUUAUAUUGUAUGUACUUAUGUCGUAUGUACCUAUGUCGGUUUAUAUUGUAUGUACUUAUACUGUAUGUACCUACGUUGGCUUAUAUUGUGCAUAUAUUGUAUGUACCUACCUUGGCUUAUGUUGUACACGCCUCUGUCGUGCCACUUACGAUCGGAGCUGCCCUGCCCAGGCGCGUAGUCACGGUUAGGUAGAGCAGUUAUAAAACUUUACAGUUCAUCUGUCUUCUAUGGGGGUUUUGGGUACAAAAUUUAUGGACCCGGAGCGGGAAUAGCUCCUUGCUGUCAGAUAGUCACUCGUUGACCGCCUCCCGUCGCCUCUGUCGUCUCGCAGGUCCCCGGGUCUCUACAAGUUAUCCCGGAAUCUACCGCCGGACAUCGAAGAGCCGCGGUCAGAAGACGCGUCGAAGCGUCAACGUAGCAUUUCAAGUAAGGGUCGCGGUCAGCGUGUAAGCGGAAGAGCGCGUGAGAGAGCGUGAUUGUCCGUGUCUGUCUGUGAGAGCUUGUGUCUGCAGGUGUGAGUGUGUGUCGACCGCUUCUAACCUUGUGCGUAUGGCCUUUGCCUUUCAGGUUUUUCAGCUCAUUUUUAAAUUUAGAAUAAAAAAUCCCCAGCCGGGGGGUUUUUUUUUUUUCCCCCCGGCUGGGUUUUUUUUUUCCUCGGUCCCGGCCGGUCCGCGAGGCGACGUUCAUCGCCAAAGUUCGGAGGCGGACCGUCCCGGGACCGGGGUUUUCGUCAGGCAGGAGAAUUUUUUCGGACGCUCCCGGGAACCACGUUCCCGAGGAGCGUCGUGCAUGCGUGUCGAUGGCCGGGGGUCAGAGGAGCGGUUGAGACGAGAGCGAGGGUGGGUUUGUGCGUGAGCUGAAGGAGGGCUCUGUGUGUGUGUGUUUGUGUGUGUGUGUUGACCGGUUCUAACCUUGUGCGUAUGGCCUUUGCCUUUCAGGUUUUUCAGCUCAUUUUUACAUUUAGAAUAAAAAAUCCCCAGCCGGGGGGUUUUUUUUUUUUCCCCCCGGCUGGGUUUUUUUUUCCUCGGUCCCGGCCGGUCCGCGAGGCGACGUUCAUCGCCAAAGUUCGGAGGCGGACCGUCCCGGGACCGGGGUUUUCGUCAGGCAGGCGGAUUUUUUCGGAGGCUCCCGGGAACCACGUUCCCGAGGAGCGUCGUGCAUGCGUGUCGAUGGCCGGGGGUUAGAGGAGCGGUUGAGACGAGAGCGAGGGUGGGUUUGUGCGUGAGCUGAAGGAGGGCUCUGUGUGUGUGUGUUUGUGUGUGUGUGUUGACCGGUUCUAACCUUGUGCGUAUGGCCUUUGCCUUUCAGGUUUUUCAGCUCAUUUUUACAUUUAGAAUAAAAAAUCCCCAGCCGGGGGGUUUUUUUUUUUUCCCCCGGCUGGGUUUUUUUUUCCUCGGUCCCGGCCGGUCCGCGAGGCGACGUUCAUCGCCAAAGUUCGGAGGCGGACCGUCCCGGGACCGGGGUUUUCGUCAGGCAGGCGGAUUUUUUCGGAGGCUCCCGGGAACCACGUUCCCGAGGAGCGUCGUGCAUGCGUGUCGAUGGCCGGGGGUUAGAGGAGCGGUUGAGACGAGAGCGAGGGUGGGUUUGUGCGUGAGCUGAAGGAGGGCUCUGUGUGUGUGUGUUUGUGUGUGUGUGUUGACCGGUUCUAACCUUGUGCGUAUGGCCUUUGCCUUUCAGGUUUUUCAGCUCAUUUUUACAUUUAGAAUAAAAAAUCCCCAGCCGGGGGGUUUUUUUUUUUUUCCCCCCGGCUGGGUUUUUUUUUUCCUCGGUCCCGGCCGGUCCGCGAGGCGACGUUCAUCGCCAAAGUUCGGAGGCGGACCGUCCCGGGACCGGGGUUUUCGUCAGGCAGGAGGAUUUUUUUCAGAGGCUCCCGGGAACCACGUUCCCGAGGAACAACGAUUGCUGGGGCUUAACGGAGCGGUUGAAACGAUAGCGACAGUGAGUUUGUGUGCAAUGUGAAGGAAGCGGUCACGGUGGAUGACUGUUGGUUUCUGUGUGCUAUUUUUGUUUGGUCUUUCCUCUAACAAUCAAUCAAAAUGUAAUGUAAAUAGAAAAAAGGUUAUAUUGUGUUAAUGUCCGUUCGUUGUCUAUUGCCCCGUAUUGUUCCGUGUUUGCAUUUGCUGCUGCAUUUCCACAUACGGUUCUGUAUGUAAGUGGGAUUUCUACCGGUCAGCGUACGGAUUGUAUCUAUGCUCCCAUUGGUAUACAUUGUUUCCAUGUAUUUUGCUGGAGUGUAAAUAAAAAAAAUCAUUCAAUAAAGUUGAA